GAUGGCGACCAGCGCACGGGUGAGUAACACGUAUCCAACCUGCCGAUGACUCGGGGAUAGCCUUUCGAAAGAAAGAUUAAUACCCGAUGGCAUAGUUCUUCCGCAUGGUAGAACUAUUAAAGGAUUUCGGUCAUCGAUGGGGAUGCGUUCCAUUAGGUUGUUGGCGGGGUAACGGCCCACCAAGCCUUCGAUGGAUAGGGGUUCUGAGAGGAAGGUCCCCCACAUUGGAACUGAGACACGGUCCAAACUCCUACGGGAGGCAGCAUG
This 267-nucleotide ribosomal RNA is filed under the name uncultured bacterium. RNAcentral describes it as "partial 16S ribosomal RNA". It matches the Rfam family "Bacterial small subunit ribosomal RNA", at positions 87 to 353 of the family's 1533-position model. The record is from RNAcentral.